GACGAACGCUGGCGGCGUGCCUAAUACAUGCAAGUAGAACGCUGAAGAGAGGAGCUUGCUCUUCUUGGAUGAGUUGCGAACGGGUGAGUAACGCGUAGGUAACCUGCCUUGUAGCGGGGGAUAACUAUUGGAAACGAUAGCUAAUACCGCAUAACAAUGGAUGACACAUGUCAUUUAUUUGAAAGGGGCAAUUGCUCCACUACAAGAUGGACCUGCGUUGUAUUAGCUAGUAGGUGAGGUAACGGCUCACCUAGGCGACGAUACAUAGCCGACCUGAGAGGGUGAUCGGCCACACUGGGGACUGAGACACGGCCCCAGACUCCUACGGGAGGCAGCAGUAGGGAAUCUUUCGGGCAAAUGGGGGCAAACCCCUGACCGAAGCAAACGCCCGCCUGAAGUGAAAGAAAGGUUUUUCGGAUUCGUAAAAGCUUCUGUUGUAA
This 440-nucleotide ribosomal RNA is filed under the name Streptococcus sp. oral taxon C65. Its description in RNAcentral is "bacterial SSU rRNA". It matches the Rfam family "Bacterial small subunit ribosomal RNA", at positions 28 to 441 of the family's 1533-position model. The record is from RNAcentral. Lineage: Bacteria; Bacillati; Bacillota; Bacilli; Lactobacillales; Streptococcaceae.